UACAGAGGGGGCAAGCGUUAUUCGGAAUGAUUGGGCGUAAAGCGUCCGCAGGUGGCAAUGUAAGUCUGCUGUCAAAGCGUCUGGCUCAACCAGAUAAAGGCAGUGGAAACUACAUAGCUAGAGUAAGGUAGGGGUAGAGGGAAUUCCUGGUGUAGCGGUGAAAUGCGUAGAGAUCAGGAAGAACACCGGUGGCGAAAGCGCUCUGCUGGACCUUAACUGACACUGAGGGACGAAAGCUAGGGGAGCGAAUGGG
This 253-nucleotide ribosomal RNA is filed under the name uncultured bacterium. Its description in RNAcentral is "partial 16S ribosomal RNA". It matches the Rfam family "Bacterial small subunit ribosomal RNA", at positions 524 to 776 of the family's 1533-position model. The record is from RNAcentral.